UCUGAGCUAAGCAGGC
RNAcentral lists this transfer RNA (16 nucleotides) under Picea abies (Norway spruce). RNAcentral's name for it is "partial tRNA-Thr". Lineage: Eukaryota; Viridiplantae; Streptophyta; Pinopsida; Pinales; Pinaceae. RNAcentral also lists the same sequence under 10 other names. The record is from RNAcentral.